GAUGAAGAACGCAGCGAAAUGCGAUAAGUAAUGUGAAUUGCAGAAUUCAGUGAAUCAUCGAAUCUUUGAACGCACAUUGCGCCCGUCAGUAUUCUGGCGGGCAUGCCUGUUCGAGCGUCAUUACGCCCCUCAAGUCCCCUGUGGACUUGGUGUUGGGGAUCGGCGAGGCUGGUUUUCCAGCACAGCCGUCCCUUAAAUUAAUCGGCGGUCUCGCCGUGGCCCUCCUCUGCGCAGUAGUAAAACACUCGCAACAGGAGCCCGGCGCGGUCCACUGCCGUAAAACCCCCCAACUUUUUAUAGUUGACCUCGAAUCAGGUAGGACUACCCGCUGAACUUAAGCAUAUCAAUAAGCGGAGGA
Molecule: unclassified non-coding RNA, 358 nt
Filed under: soil metagenome
Description: partial contains 5.8S ribosomal RNA, internal transcribed spacer 2, and large subunit ribosomal RNA
Rfam family: 5.8S ribosomal RNA (bases 1-120)
Source: RNAcentral